UUGGAGGGCAAGUCUGGUGCCAGCAGCCGCGGUAAUUCCAGCUCCAAUAGCGUAUAUUAAAGUUGUUGCAGUUAAAAAGCUCGUAGUUGAAUUUCGGGGUUCAUACGUUGGUCGGGCUUUUUGGUCUGUACUAGCGUAAUGGAUUCCUACCUUCUGAAUAACCGGCAUGUCAUUAAUUUGGUGCGCCGGGGAAGCAGGACUGUUACCUUGAAAAAAUUAGAGUGCUUAAAGCAGGCUAUCGCCUGAAUACAUUAGCAUGGAAUAAUGAAAUAGGACGGCAUGGUUCUAUUUUGUUGGUGUCUAGGAUCACCGUAAUGAUUAAUAGGGAUAGUUGGGGGCAUUAGUAUUCAAUUGACAGAGGUGAAAUUCUUGGAUUUAUUGAAGACUAACUUCUGCGAAAGCAUUUGCCAAGGAUGUUUUCAUUAAUCAAGAACGAAAGUUAGGGGAUCGAAGACGAUCAGAUACCGUCGUAGUCUUAACCAUAAACUAUGCCGACUAGGGAUCGGACGAUGUUAAUUUUUUAAUGACACGUUCGGCGCCUUACGGGAAAC
Molecule: ribosomal RNA, 551 nt
Filed under: uncultured Acaulospora
Lineage: Eukaryota; Fungi; Glomeromycota; Glomeromycetes; Diversisporales; Acaulosporaceae
Description: SSU rRNA
Rfam family: Eukaryotic small subunit ribosomal RNA
Source: RNAcentral